AUUGAACGCUGGCGGCAGGCCUAACACAUGCAAGUCGAACGGUAACAGGAAGCAGCUUGCUGCUUUGCUGACGAGUGGCGGACGGGUGAGUAAUGUCUGGGAAACUGCCUGAUGGAGGGGGAUAACUACUGGAAACGGUAGCUAAUACCGCAUAACGUCGCAAGACCAAAGAGGGGGACCUUAGGGCCUCUUGCCAUCGGAUGUGCCCAGAUGGGAUUAGCUAGUAGGUGGGGUAACGGCUCACCUAGGCGACGAUCCCUAGCUGGUCUGAGAGGAUGACCAACCACAAUGGAACUGAGACACGGUCCAGACGCCUACGGGAGGCAGCAGUGGGAAAUAUUGCACAAUGGGCGCAAGCCUGAUGCAGCCAUGCCGCGUGUAUGAAGAAGGCCUUCGGGUUGUAAAGUACUUUCAGCGGGGAGGAAGGGAGUAAGUUAAUACCUUUGCUCAUUGACGUUACCCGCAGAAGAAGCACCGGCUAACUCCGUG
Molecule: ribosomal RNA, 489 nt
Filed under: uncultured bacterium
Lineage: Bacteria
Description: partial 16S ribosomal RNA
Rfam family: Bacterial small subunit ribosomal RNA
Source: RNAcentral